UAGGGAAUCUUCCACAAUGGGCGAAAGCCUGAUGGAGCAACGCCGCGUGUGUGAUGAAGGGUUUCGGCUACGUAAAACACUGUUGUAAGAGAAGAAUGACAUUGAGAGUAACUGUUCAAUGUGUGACGGUAUCUUACCAGAAAGGAACGGCUAAAUACGUGCCA
This 164-nucleotide ribosomal RNA is filed under the name uncultured bacterium. RNAcentral describes it as "partial 16S rRNA". It matches the Rfam family "Bacterial small subunit ribosomal RNA", at positions 355 to 510 of the family's 1533-position model. The record is from RNAcentral.